RNAcentral lists this ribosomal RNA (475 nucleotides) under uncultured bacterium. Its description in RNAcentral is "partial 16S ribosomal RNA". It matches the Rfam family "Bacterial small subunit ribosomal RNA", at positions 31 to 507 of the family's 1533-position model. The record is from RNAcentral.
GAACGCUGGCGGCGUGCUUAACACAUGCAAGUCGAACGAGAAGUGAAGACGGAAACCUUCGGGCGGAAGGCUUUAUUUCGAGUGGCGGACGGGUGAGUAACGCGUGGGUAACCUGCCUCAUACAGGGGGAUAACAGUUGGAAACGACUGUUAAUACCGCAUAAGACCACAGCACCGCAUGGUGCGGGGGUAAAAACUCCGGUGGUAUGAGAUGGACCCGCGUUCGAUUAGCCAGUUGGCGGGGUAACGGCCCACCAAAGCGACGAUCGAUAGCCGAUCUGAGAGGAUGACCGGCCACAUUGGGACUGAGACACGGCCCAAACUCCUACGGGAGGCAGCAGUGGGGAAUAUUGCACAAUGGGGGAAACCCUGAUGCAGCGACGCCGCGUGAGUGAAGAAGUAUUUCGGUAUGUAAAGCUCUAUCAGCAGGGAAGAAAAUGACGGUACCUGAGGAAGAAGCCCCGGCUAACUACGUG